CAAUAGCGUAUAUUAAAGUUGUUGCAGUUAAAAAGCUCGUAGUUGGAUUUGUGGCGUACGGUGUGUUCCGGGCACUUGUUGUCUGAGUAACCUGCUGUUGCCAUCCUUGGGUGGAACCUGUGUGGCAUUAGGUUGUCGUGCAGGGGAUGCCCAUCAUUUACUGUGAAAAAAUUAGAGUGUUCAAAGCAGGCUUAUGCCGUUGAAUAUAUUAGCAUGGAAUAAUGAGAUAGGACUUUUUUGCUAUUUUGUUGGUUUGCGCAAAGAGGUAAUGAUUAAUAGGGACAGUUGGGGGUAUUCGUAUUCCAUUGUCAGAGGUGAAAUUCUUGGAUUUUUGGAAGACGAACUACAGCGAAAGCAUUUACCAAGGAUGUUUUCAUUAA
RNAcentral lists this ribosomal RNA (380 nucleotides) under uncultured eukaryote. RNAcentral describes it as "partial 18S ribosomal RNA". It matches the Rfam family "Eukaryotic small subunit ribosomal RNA", at positions 592 to 976 of the family's 1831-position model. The record is from RNAcentral.